AGAUUAUAGUGGCGAUGAAGCAGGAGAGGAUGAAGUUGACGAAGAAGAUGACGAGGAUGAUAAUGAUGAACCAGARGAGUGGGGAAAGUUCUUGCAUUUGAAAGAAAAAAAAUUUAUAGAUUUUGACGAUAUACGAGAUGAAAUUGAGAGGGAAACUGAACGAGUAACAGGAAGCAACAAGGGCAUUUCUAAUGAACCUAUCAAUUUGAAGAUCUAUUCCCCUAAAGUUGUAAACCUGACGUUGGUUGAUUUACCAGGGGUUACUAAGGUACCAGUUGGCGAUCAACCUCAUGACAUAGAGCAACAGAUUAGGCUUCUUAUUUUACAAUAUAUCAGGAACCCUAACUCUAUAAUCCUUGCUGUCUCACC
Exaiptasia diaphana is the source of this 369-nucleotide long non-coding RNA. RefSeq lists it as uncharacterized. Lineage: Eukaryota; Metazoa; Cnidaria; Anthozoa; Actiniaria; Aiptasiidae. The transcript has 4 exons. The record is from RefSeq and is a predicted model, not a curated record.